This 293-nucleotide ribosomal RNA is filed under the name uncultured bacterium. RNAcentral's name for it is "partial 16S ribosomal RNA". It matches the Rfam family "Archaeal small subunit ribosomal RNA", at positions 455 to 747 of the family's 1478-position model. The record is from RNAcentral.
GUGCCAGCAGCCGCGGUAAUACCGGCAGCACGAGUGAUGGCCGAUUUUAUUGGGCCUAAAGCGUCCGUAGCCGGCCAGACAAGUCCGUUGGGAAAUCCACGCGCUCAACGCGUGGGCGUCCGACGGAAACUGCACAGCUUGGGACCGGAAGGCUCGAAGGGUACGUUCGGGGUAGGAGUGAAAUCCCAUAAUCCCGCACGGACCACCGAUGGCGAAAGCACUUCGAGAAAACGGAUCCGACAGUGAGGGACGAAAGCCAGGGUCUCCAACCGGAUUAGAUACCCUUGUAGUCC